GCAGCAGUGAGGAAUAUUGGUCAAUGGACGAGAGUCUGAACCAGCCAAGUAGCGUGCAGGAUGACGGCCCUAUGGGUUGUAAACUGCUUUUAUAAGGGAAUAAAGUGAGUCUCGUGAGGCUUUUUGCAUGUACCUUAUGAAUAAGGACCGGCUAAUUCCGUGCCAGCAGCCGCGGUAAUACGGAAGGUCCGGGCGUUAUCCGGAUUUAUUGGGUUUAAAGGGAGCGUAGGCCGGAGAUUAAGCGUGUUGUGAAAUGUAGACGCUCAACAUCUGCACUGCAGCGCGAACUGGUUUCCUUGAGUACGCACAAAGUGGGCGGAAUUCGUGGUGUAGCGGUGAAAUGCUUAGAUAUCACGAAGAACUCCGAUUGCGAAGGCAGCUCACUGGAGCGCAACUGACGCUGAAGCCCGAAAGUGCGGGUAUCGAACAGGAUUAGAUACCCUGGUAGUCCGCACGGUAAACGAUGGAUGCCCGCUGUUGGUCUGAAUAGGUCAGCGGCCAAGCGAAAGCAUUAAGCAUCCCACCUGGGGAGUACGCCGGCAACGGUGCAACUCAAAGGAAUUGACGGA
Molecule: ribosomal RNA, 569 nt
Filed under: uncultured organism
Description: bacterial SSU rRNA
Rfam family: Bacterial small subunit ribosomal RNA
Source: RNAcentral